UCCCAUCCUGCACAAGUUUAUGGAUUGAGGAUUGCAAUUCCUUAGCAAACUUCCCAAACUUGUCAAAUUUUCCUAAAUUGAUGGAAUUGUACCUAUCAAAUUGCCAUGGAUUUCAGGAGAUCCCAUGGCUUGUGGAGUAAACUUCUCUUUUUUAUAUUGCUAUCUCAGGAUUUUCCUCGGUCGAGAUCUUACCCGAUUUGUCGUCAUGUACCAACUUGUUCACUCUGGUUGUGCAAAAUUGUGAGAAACUAACUGAGCUUCGGGGGCUUGAGAAAUUGGAGCACCUAGGGAUAUUGGACAUUUCUGGCUGCAAUUCACUCAAGACAAUACCAGAGUUACCUGGAAUUCUGCUUUAUCAAAAUUAUGAACAAAAUCCACUUGACUCAUAUGAAUUGAUGAUGGAAUUUUCGGAAGACGACAGUGAUCAGUCAGAAUGUUGAGAUGAUCCAUAUAUCCUUAGCAGGGAAUCCGAAGGAGAUGUUCAUGGAAGUUAAUGUGUGUACUUUGGCAAAAUGUUUCUGCUCAUCAUGCCAGUAAAUGAUAUAGAUCAAAAGGCCUUCUAAGUGCAUCGUUUGCCAUCAGUCUUCAGGAGCUUUCAAAAGGCACUUCUAAAAGGAAAAAAAGUCACUUAAGGAUCAGGAGCUCGAUGUUUAUUGGACUUCUCCGAAUGCUGACAAUGUAUCCUUGG
This is a long non-coding RNA of Rhodamnia argentea, 688 nucleotides long. RefSeq lists it as uncharacterized. The record is from RefSeq and is a predicted model, not a curated record. The transcript has 3 exons. NCBI's taxonomy places the organism in Eukaryota, Viridiplantae, Streptophyta, Magnoliopsida, Myrtales, Myrtaceae.